UACAGAGGUCUCAAGCGUUGUUCGGAUUCAUUGGGCGUAAAGGGUGCGUAGGCUGUAGAGUAAGUCGGAUGUGAAAUCCCGGGGCUUAACCCCGGAACUGCAUUCGAUACUGCUUUACUAGAGGACUGGAGAGGAGAUUGGAAUUCACGGUGUAGCAGUGAAAUGCGUAGAUAUCGUGAGGAAGACCAGUGGCGAAGGCGAAUCUCUGGACAGAUCCUGACGCUGAGGCACGAAGGCUAGGGGAGCAAACGGG
This 253-nucleotide ribosomal RNA is filed under the name uncultured bacterium. RNAcentral describes it as "partial 16S ribosomal RNA". It matches the Rfam family "Bacterial small subunit ribosomal RNA", at positions 524 to 776 of the family's 1533-position model. The record is from RNAcentral.